Long non-coding RNA from Raphanus sativus (radish), 1591 nucleotides. RefSeq lists it as uncharacterized. The record is from RefSeq and is a predicted model, not a curated record. The transcript has 2 exons. NCBI's taxonomy places the organism in Eukaryota, Viridiplantae, Streptophyta, Magnoliopsida, Brassicales, Brassicaceae.
UUAUAAAAACAUAAGAUAGUUUAAUACAUCUGUAAAGAAUAAUACUCAUAUAAAUAGAGAGAGAGAGAGGAGAGGAGAGGAGAUGCUUGUAUUGUGAAUUGUAACAAACUCUGUAAGUCUGCGAUAAGGCGAUUAAAGAUCCAAGAGUGAUGUCGCUGUCUGGAUCGAUUCGUGAUUCAUAAUACGAAUACAAUUGUGGUUACGAUAAGACCAACAAUAGAGAUUUGAGUAUUCUGUUGUUAUCAAUUGGUGCGUUUCGUGAGCUCGAUCGAUCCUGAAUCGCGACGAUGGGACAUCAAUAUUCACAACUUUCCGGAGGAGGACGAGCCAUUUUGUGGAGAUCUAUAAGCGAUUGGAUGGUGGAUGCAAGCGGAGAUGAGAUUGAUGGAUCGAUUGAUUCAGAUGCUUCCAAACGGCGAUUCACAACGAGUCGCUGGUGAAUCGAGUCAGAUCCAUCACUCGCCGCCCCGCCAGAUCGUUGCAAGCAGUGCGACAACCGUAGAUUCCGAUUCAACAUCAAAGGACCGGUUCAUCAGCAGGAAUUAAUAUACAUUUGGAUGGAUUGCGAAAGUAAGAAUGGUGUGGAGUUUGAAGUGUUGGAUGAGAAUAGAGACGAAAGUCGAAGCCACCGUAGCAUUUUGGUCCACCUGAACUGGGAGAAUUAUCUUUGAACUCACUCAUUCUUGGGUAUUGAUUCUCCAACUACUUACAAAGAUGCGUGGGAUGAUUGGGAAACACACAAGUGGUUCACAGAGUACACCCGAAGCUGAAGCUGACAAUCGUGAUCAUGAGUAAAGAAGAUUGUUCUUUAACAAUUCUAAUCCUUGACGAGUUAACAAAGACAGAGGAUUCACUGCAAGAAGACUUUUCUAAUGAAGAAAAAAACAAGAGAGAGAAAAUUUAAGGAUCUCUGUUUUUCUCAGGGAAAGAUAACGGCACCAGCUAUUUACUAUGAGAGGCGAGUUGGGCUUUUCAGGGUAGUCAUGGGAGACUCUAAAACUGAUGAAACAGCUGGGUAAUACAAAAGACUUGAUGUUUAAAUACAAAGAAACAAGGAAGCUCCAAGGCGGUAGCAUGUGUGUUGCUGAUGUGGAGGAGUUUGUGCUACUGAAAUUGUACAAAUCAUGGAGAUUCAAAUUCAGAUAUAUCAGCUGGGUGAUCUGGAGGAAGCUACUGCUGGACUAUUAGAGAAAUUGAAGCUUUUAUGAAGGUGCUAAGCGGAGUUGAUGAGUUUUAUAGCCACAGCAAAGAGAGUGUGUUCUCUAGCGUUGAGUUUCACGUUUACUGUUAACGCUUACGAUGGGAGUGCAAAGGAACAGAGCUUGAAUAGAAAAUACUGGUAUAGAUAGAUGUUCUCAAUGCAUGAGGCAGAGUUGACAGAAAGACUCUACAACACGUUGGACUCAUAUGAAGAGGUUGCUACUGUUCAUCGUCUUUCUCAUUUACCGUGGAUCACCUUCAAAAAUUAUGCUUCUGAUUCCAACGGAUGUCCAAAUAAUUUUCCCCCUGUAUUAUUAUUUCUCGUAGUAAUCUCUCGUUGAACCAUAAUUUCGUGAUUCUUUUGUUUAUUUUAUUACGUGUGCUUCUUUGA